This 603-nucleotide ribosomal RNA is filed under the name Candida albicans. RNAcentral describes it as "LSU rRNA". It matches the Rfam family "Eukaryotic large subunit ribosomal RNA", at positions 48 to 666 of the family's 3401-position model. Lineage: Eukaryota; Fungi; Ascomycota; Pichiomycetes; Serinales; Debaryomycetaceae. The record is from RNAcentral.
AAGCGGAGGAAAAGAAACCACCAGGGAUUGCCUCAGUAGCGGCGAGUGAAGCGGCAAAAGCUCAAAUUUGAAAUCUGGCGUCUUUGGCGUCCGAGUUGUAAUUUGAAGAAGGUAUCUUUGGGCCCGGCUCUUGUCUAUGUUCCUUGGAACAGGACGUCACAGAGGGUGAGAAUCCCGUGCGAUGAGAUGACCCGGGUCUGUGUAAAGUUCCUUCGACGAGUCGAGUUGUUUGGGAAUGCAGCUCUAAGUGGGUGGUAAAUUCCAUCUAAAGCUAAAUAUUGGCGAGAGACCGAUAGCGAACAAGUACAGUGAUGGAAAGAUGAAAAGAACUUUGAAAAGAGAGUGAAAAAGUACGUGAAAUUGUUGAAAGGGAAGGGCUUGAGAUCAGACUUGGUAUUUUGCAUGCUGCUCUCUCGGGGGCGGCCGCUGCGGUUUACCGGGCCAGCAUCGGUUUGGAGCGGCAGGAUAAUGGCGGAGGAAUGUGGCACGGCUUCUGCUGUGUGUUAUAGCCUCUGACGAUACUGCCAGCCUAGACCGAGGACUGCGGUUUUUACCUAGGAUGUUGGCAUAAUGAUCUUAAGUCGCCCGUCUUGAAACACGGAC